CAUGUACUCAUCCCAUCCAACAAAAGAUGUCUCAAGUUUGUCAAAAUUUGGAUGUAUCUAAACAUGACUUAGUAUAUAGAUGCAUUCAAAUUUAAUCAGAGUUGAGACAUCUUUUGUUGGACGGAGAGAGCACUGA
Brachypodium distachyon (stiff brome) is the source of this 136-nucleotide non-coding RNA. The record is from Rfam. Lineage: Eukaryota; Viridiplantae; Streptophyta; Magnoliopsida; Poales; Poaceae.